Molecule: ribosomal RNA, 465 nt
Filed under: Vreelandella stevensii
Lineage: Bacteria; Pseudomonadati; Pseudomonadota; Gammaproteobacteria; Oceanospirillales; Halomonadaceae
Description: partial 16S ribosomal RNA
Rfam family: Bacterial small subunit ribosomal RNA
Source: RNAcentral
CCUACGGGCGGCAGCAGUGGGGAAUAUUGGACAAUGGGCGAAAGCCUGAUCCAGCCAUGCCGCGUGUGUGAAGAAGGCCUUCGGGUUGUAAAGCACUUUCAGUGGGGAAGAAAGCCUUGGGGCUAAUACCCUCGAGGAAGGACAUCACCCACAGAAGAAGCACCGGCUAACUCCGUGCCAGCAGCCGCGGUAAUACGGAGGGUGCGAGCGUUAAUCGGAAUUACUGGGCGUAAAGCGCGCGUAGGCGGUCUGAUAAGCCGGUUGUGAAAGCCCCGGGCUCAACCUGGGAACGGCAUCCGGAACUGUCAGGCUAGAGUGCAGGAGAGGAAGGUAGAAUUCCCGGUGUAGCGGUGAAAUGCAUAGAGAUCGGGAGGAAUACCAGUGGCGAAGGCGGCCUUCUGGACUGACACUGACGCUGAGGUGCGAAAGCGUGGGUAGCAAACAGGAUUAGAUACCCCGGUAGUC